Elaeis guineensis (African oil palm) is the source of this 1879-nucleotide long non-coding RNA. RefSeq lists it as uncharacterized. Lineage: Eukaryota; Viridiplantae; Streptophyta; Magnoliopsida; Arecales; Arecaceae. The record is from RefSeq and is a predicted model, not a curated record.
UUAUUUUAUUAUUAUUAUAGGGUUAAGGGUGUAUUAGGAAUGAAAUAAAAAAGAUUAUUUUUUCAAUUGAUGAAAAAAUGACUUACCUACCUCCUAGGUGGGUAAGACUUCUCCCCCCAUUUCAUGGAUAAAUGGUAUCCAUAGGAAAAUAAUUUAUCUACCUAGAGAAGCGUGAGAAUAUGAUAAGCUGGUCAAUGGAAAAGUUGACCAAUUUUUCUAUGAUAUUUACCUACCAGAGAACGAACCCUAAGUAUAAAGAAUGUUUUUCAAACAUCUGCUACUGGGUAAUAAAAGGAACAAGUUAAUUUUAUAACUUCAAAGCCAGCGAAAGGAGUUGAGCUAUAGGCAAUAGGAGCGAUGAAUGUUAAAAGAAAAAUGUGCAAGAAAAAGUGAAUAUGCUUGAAUCAAUUGAUCAAGGCUAGAAUCCGGGCCUUUAAGUUGCUGUCUUAGUUAACACAUAGUAACCUUCUGUAUCCUAAGAAUUCUAGAUCUCGAACUCUAAGAAAAGAGCUGUUUAUUAAUGGGAUGUUCGGUGGCAGGGAAGUGGAUACUGAGUUUUAAGUUUUAAGGAGUGAUGCAUUUGCUCAUAUCUUACGGUUGGCAUCUAUGUCAUUCAGGGUGAAAUAACUCACAUAAUUAAAUACUUGGAUUUGUUUUGGCUGCAAGCAAUCAUCAGAAUCUUUGGAGCCUAGAAGUGAGUUAUGUGCAAGAGGGUUUCCAAAAUGUGAUUCUCAUUCCAGAUAUUUGGCAUGAUAAACUUGAGCUCUGAAAAUGUUAGAAAAACGUAAUUAGACAAGGACAGAUCAUCAUGCAUGUCCAACUUUGGUCAAGUAUUUAUGUUGGUGGUUGACCAUCGUUGACGUUUGCUAAUAAGUAAAUAAAUUAAAAUUAUGACUUGCCAUUUUUGUAAAGCGUCUUUAAGCAUAGAUUUGUUGUACUAAAUUGUAACACUCGCAAUGGUCACAUGCUACUAAACAGACCCAACUGGCAACAAAGCCAGGAAAGAUUUUUCCAGGUCAAGUAAUUUUUGAACGUUGUACUUGUGGGAUAUGUAUCAAGUUCUAUCAAGUUCAUGGAAUGGAGUGAGGGUUGCAUCAACCAUCCAAAUAUGAUCACUGAUUGACAAGGAUGCCAUUGUAUGAGUCCAUGCACUUCUGUGUGCUUCAGAUCUAUAAUAUUAAAGGAACUGUAGACAGCAUCUUCUGUUGUGCAGCUGUACUCCUGGUAUGAAGGUAAACAUGGCUUGUUGAUUCGGUUGCAAUAAGUCAAGGAUGUCAACCAUAUCUAUAAUGGCAGGUUAUCUUAUUCUUUACUUGCUGAUGAUGAGCAUACAUUGUAUCUUGUUGAUGGAAAUGCAAUGUUUUAUUGAACUAUUAGUUUUUUUUUUUGGCAUCUCUCUGAUGGAGUCAUUCUACAUUUUUUUCAGAAAAAUUUAAUAUUGAUUACAAUUCUAAGUCUAUUGUUAAUAUAUCAAAUCCUGAAAACUUAGGUAUUGGGAUUGUAUGUAUCAUGGAUGCACCUUAGCAAUACGUUGCUAUAUUGUUUCACUUAUCUAAUGAGAUCAUUUAUUGUUUACAUGGAAUAGUUUUUUCUGUAGCUACAUUACUGGAAACGUUGCCUUCAGAUUGCGUAAUGCUGCCUUUAGGGAGGAGAGAAAUUGGCAGUGGAGAAUUUUUAUUAUGAAACCGUAGAAUACUUGGAUGGGAGAAUAGGUUUCUCUCUCUUGGUGGAGGGAUUUUCCUUACCGUUUUUGCUUUCUAAAAUUGAACGUGUCGGUUGAGACCUCAUAAAUGGCACUACUUUCAGCAUUCAUUUUCUCACCAAACACUUCAUGCAUGGUUUGCACGGUUGAGUGCAGAGCUAAGAUUUCUUGAAUUCU